GGUGCCAUGGCCGCCGGCUCGGCGGGCGCGCUGGCGCGGGCGGCGCUGGGUGAGGGCCGGGGGGCCCGGGCUGAGGGAGCGGGGGGCUCGGGCAGCCGGGGCUGCCUUUAGAUGGUGGUGGUGCAGCAGAUAAGAUACGUUUAAUACCUCAAGACUUUUUUGCUGAGCUGUGUGAACAAAUAAUUCAGCAUCUGAACCAUAAGAUCCCAGGUGUAAAUACAGCUGAAUUGUGUCGGAGAAUUCAAACUUCGGGGAUUGACAUUAAUAUUGGUGAUCUGGCAAAAGUAGCUAACACUCUUUCAUUUCUGUUUAGCACAGCAGCCAGAAACAACCUCUCUACAGAAGAACUCAUUGCCACCUUGGGCAGUGGCAUCAGCACACUGCCAAAACAUGCACUUCAAGUUAUUCGUCACGUGUGGAACGAGCAGGGUAAAGCCAUUGCUGUGUCAGAAGAUGCAAGGAAUACGGCCACAGUGGGGCAGUUUGUAGAUAUGAAAUGGAAACUGGGAGUUGCAAUGAGCUCUGACACCUGCAGGUCUCUGAAGUACCCGUAUGUCACAGUGACACUAACAGUGGCAGACCCUUCAGGACAAAUAACAGACAAAUCUUUUGAAAUGACCAUCCCACAGUUCAAGAACUUCUUCAGACAGUUCAAGGAAAUGGCAUCUGUUCUUGAAACAGUUUGAAGGGAACUUUUAUUUCCAGUGACAUGUUGGAGGAAGAUCAAGUAAACUUUCCAUUCUGCAUAGGGAAUAAAGUGCCAGUGUUCAGCAAGGUAUGUAUCCUUGUCUUCUUGACAGGAGUUGGUCAGCAUCACCCUUGCAUUGCUGUGAAGAUUUCUUCGCUUUUGAUUAAUUGAAGUCAACUCUGCAGUGUUUGUGAAAACAUGUCCAGCUUUGCUCAUCCUGGUAGACAAAAGAUCAGGAUGUAUAUGGAGGAGCAUCUCUAUAGACUUCCUAAUACCACGAGAAAGAAACUACACACUAAAUUCUGUAGUGCAUAAAGAUACCUGAAAAUGUUGACUGGGAAGAUAUUGAGAGAAGUGUAAAUCCCAUGUUAAUAUUUUUAUUAGUAAAAUUAGGAUGGGCUUGGACACAACAGUAGUAUUACAUAUAAGGAGAAUAUGAAGUUACAAGCAUACAGCUACUCUUGAAGAAUAGCAUUGUUAGGUAGUUGAUUGCAGCUAUUUACAUAUCUGGCUUCAAGUCUUUUAAUAACUGGAGAAUGUACUUGUCCUAACAGCUUGUUUAUUUCAACUAUUUAUUUCCCACCACCUAGGCUUAUAAAGAUGGAAUUAAUGCAUUAAGUUUUUUCAGAGCCCCAAAAUUCUCUCAAAUGAAACCCAGAGGCUAAUUUUUUCAUAAAGGUAGAAAGGCAAAUAAAUUCAAAAAUGUUUUAAUGGGUUUCUGCUUUUUCAUUUCAUCCAUUGUUAAUCUGUGGCAUUCUGCUUGAUGUUUUGGUCAGCAGUCUUCUCUCUAAUUAAAUUAAAAUAUUGAUUUAGAUACCUCACUUCAACCUCUGAACUAGAAAAGUCAAGAGAAAACUUGAAAAUCCAGGCUGGAGAGGUAGCCAAGCACAUCAGAGAACGGACCACACUAAAAGAUUUCUUUGCAUGUUGCUUUGUAACAGGCAGACACUGGACUGUGUUCUGCAUACGUGCUCUAAUAAGGUGUCCUAACCAACAAAAUUUUGACUUUGAUGUUGAAGAAUGGGGCAUUUCUAAAAGGGAGUGAUUAAUCCAAUGUGCUUGCAUGCUUUCCUCAUAAUUUUUUUCCUUGAGUUUUCCAUAAAGCAAAACACACUGCAAAUAUUGUGGGAUGUAAAUAAAGCAAUACUCUUGCAUCUCCAGACAUGCUGAUGGUAGAGUAGAAUAAGUAACUCUGAAGAGAGAUAAUUCACACUGAUAAGCAGAUUGAAGUUUCUGCUUCAGCUUCAGGCUGGCAGUGACUGAGCACCAGCUUUGCUGGGACAGAUCCUCAAAUUAUUUCACUUAAAAUGCGAACAUCUACCUUUCUAACUCAAAUCUGUUUUUUAAAUUAACAUUUUUAAGAGCUGGCUGAAAGUCAUUGAUACAGGUUAUGCCUGCCUUUUUGUGCUAUGAAAAUAAACUGCAGCACAUUGUGUGUGCUACAUAUGCUACAAUCCUUUCAGGAAUGCCCCUAUUUUAAGCAUUACAUGUGAUGUGUAAAAACAGUUCUUGGACUCUAUUAGAAGCCCAAAUAAGUGAAACUGUGUUGGCUUUGACAAAAGUUUUUGGCCAGAUCCAUGGAUCUGGAUAAUACUUUGUUUAUGUUGGUUGAAAUCUGAGGUGUUUGCUUUGUGGCUGGGGAGAGGAGAUUGGUGUUCUCUGGGACCCUCCUGGUAUAGUGUCACCGAAUGCUCUUGGGAGCACACUUCCCAUUUGUCUCUUCCCUUGUCUGUGUGCAGGAGCUCAGGGCUGAAUGAUAGAGCAAAUGUGUAUGGAAAAGGGAUGUGAGCAGCUGAUUUGUUUUUUUUUUUACUUUGCAGAAGUGGGAGUGUAAGGCAGCUAUAACUGGAAAACAUUGUCAUGCUUUGGCCUCGUGAAUUGUUUUACAUCAAUAUAAGAGUUCCAGAAAAAAAUAAGGUUGUCUUUUUUUUUAGUAAAGCUGGAGCCUUACAAAUAACUUCCUAUGUGUUCCAAUGCACAUAAAUUCUUCAUAUAGCUGGAAAUACUUGUGCCUUCAUUGGAACUGCAUAGAAAAGAAGAUUUAAUUUAUCAUGUCUUAACAAUUCAGUAGAUGCUGGAAGGUAAUGAGGAAACUCCCAGUUAGCAUUUUUGCUUUCCCUGUCAGCAAGAGCAGAAAGUUGUCAGCCUUUGUAAAGACCUUUAUUUUGUCAAGUCAGAUAUUCUAGAAGUAUUGAUUAAUAUUUUUUUAAAUGUCCCUGAACUCCAGCAUGUUGUAAUUCUGGCUGGAAGAUGCUUGGACAUGUAUACUAUACUAAUUUACUGUCUUUAGAAUUUUCAGAGGAGGUAUGACUUAAAGUUGGCUAUGUAGUCAAACUUUUGAAAUGCGUCACUGUCAGCAGGAGUUCCUCUACUGAGUAAUGGAAGAAUUAAGUAUUUUAUUAAAAGGAAACCAAACAAAAAACAGUUUUAAGGGUAGCAAUACUAACAUGUCCAAACAAGCUGGUGAUUUGUUUGUCUAUAUGUGAAGAAACCAGAUCUUUUCAAAGAAAAUCAGGAGUCCUUAUGUGUUCCUAAUUGUUGAUUAAUAGAAAUUGUAUAACAUGAAUAUUUUUGUAAGUCCACAGUCAUUAAACAUGUAGGUAAUAAAGACAAAGCUGAUUUGUGUUUUGUUUUAAGCCUA
This is a non-coding RNA of Lonchura striata (white-rumped munia), 3329 nucleotides long. The record is from RefSeq and is a predicted model, not a curated record. NCBI's taxonomy places the organism in Eukaryota, Metazoa, Chordata, Aves, Passeriformes, Estrildidae.